This 825-nucleotide ribosomal RNA is filed under the name Triticum aestivum (bread wheat). RNAcentral's name for it is "partial small subunit ribosomal RNA". The record is from RNAcentral. Lineage: Eukaryota; Viridiplantae; Streptophyta; Magnoliopsida; Poales; Poaceae.
AUGGGGUGCAAAUCGUGCCAGAAGCCCAAGGCGCAGCACCGGAAGGGUCUGUGGUCGCCGGAGGAGGACCAGAAGCUCCGCGACUACAUCGUCCGCUACGGCCACAGCUGCUGGAGCACCGUCCCAGUCAAGGCCGGACUUCAGAGGAACGGAAAGAGCUGCAGGCUGCGAUGGAUCAACUACCUAAGGCCGGGGCUGAAGCACGGCAUGUUCUCCCAGGCGGAAGAAGAGACCGUCAUGAGCCUCCAUGCCACACUCGGCAACAAGUGGUCUCGCAUAGCGCAGCACCUGCCGGGCCGGACGGAUAACGAGGUGAAGAACUACUGGAACUCGUACCUGAAGAAGCGCGUCGAGGGCGCGCGGGCACCAGCCAAGUCCGCCGGCUCCGACGCGCCCCGGAGCCCGACGCCCAGCGACAGCGGCCGCGAACGCAGCACCGUUAACCAGCUGUCCAACUCCGGCUCGUCGGGCCCGCCUGAGUCGUCGUCGACGGCCGACGACUCGAGCAGCCUCACCGGGCCCGGCGCGGCCGCCUUGAUCCGGCCGCACGCCCCCGUGCUCCCCAAGGUCAUGUUCGCGGACUGGCUCGACAUGGACAUGGAAUACGGCACCAGCCUGCUGCGGCCGAGCGCCCUGGACACGGCCUUCGACUGCAGCCAGGCGCAGCAGGGCGCGAGCAACACGGUAGACGGUCGUUGCGGCACCGUGGACUCGUUGCACGGGCUCAGCGAUGGCGGCAUCUGUUGGGAGUUCGAGGCGGACACGCAGGGCGGAGCAGGGUUCUGCGACCUGCUCUCCAUGAGCGAGUUCCUCGGGAUCAACUAG